RNAcentral lists this transfer RNA (74 nucleotides) under Schlesneria paludicola. Its description in RNAcentral is "tRNA-Ile". It matches the Rfam family "tRNA". From Rfam's summary of the family: Transfer RNA (tRNA) molecules are approximately 80 nucleotides in length. Lineage: Bacteria; Pseudomonadati; Planctomycetota; Planctomycetia; Planctomycetales; Planctomycetaceae. RNAcentral also lists the same sequence under 1 other name. The record is from RNAcentral.
CCUCCUGUAGCUCAGUGGUUAGAGCGGCGGCCUUAUAAGCCGCGUCAGCGCGGGUUCGAUUCCCGCCGGGAGGA